This 253-nucleotide ribosomal RNA is filed under the name uncultured bacterium. RNAcentral's name for it is "partial 16S ribosomal RNA". It matches the Rfam family "Bacterial small subunit ribosomal RNA", at positions 524 to 776 of the family's 1533-position model. The record is from RNAcentral.
UACGGGGGGGGCAAAUGUUGUUCGGAAUCACUGGGCGUAAAGGGAGCGUAGGCGGGUUUUUAAGUCAGGUGUUUAAUCCCGGGGCCCAACCCCGGACAGGCACUUGAAACUGGGAAUCUUGAAUAGUGGAGAGGUCAGUGGAAUUGGGGGUGUAGCGGUGGAAUGCGUAGAGAUCCCCAAGAACACCCGUUGCGAAGGCGGCUGACUGGACACAUAUUGACGCUGAGGCUCGAAAGCAUGGGGAGCAAACAGG